CCUACGGGGGGCAGCAGUAGGGAAUCUUCGGCAAUGGACGAAAGUCUGACCGAGCAACGCCGCGUGAGUGAAGAAGGUUUUCGGAUCGUAAAACUCUGUUGUUAGAGAAGAACAAGGAUGAGAGUAACUGUUCAUCCCUUGACGGUAUCUAACCAGAAAGCCACGGCUAACUACGUGCCAGCAGCCGCGGUAAUACGUAGGUGGCAAGCGUUGUCCGGAUUUAUUGGGCGUAAAGCGAGCGCAGGCGGUUUCUUAAGUCUGAUGUGAAAGCCCCCGGCUCAACCGGGGAGGGUCAUUGGAAACUGGGAGACUUGAGUGCAGAAGAGGAGAGUGGAAUUCCAUGUGUAGCGGUGAAAUGCGUAGAUAUAUGGAGGAACACCAGUGGCGAAGGCGGCUCUCUGGUCUGUAACUGACGCUGAGGCUCGAAAGCGUGGGGAGCAAACAGGAUUAGAUACCCCAGUAGUC
Molecule: ribosomal RNA, 465 nt
Filed under: uncultured Enterococcus sp.
Lineage: Bacteria; Bacillati; Bacillota; Bacilli; Lactobacillales; Enterococcaceae
Description: bacterial SSU rRNA
Rfam family: Bacterial small subunit ribosomal RNA
Source: RNAcentral